GCAGUCGUGGCCGAGUGGUUAAGGCGAUGGGCUCGAAAUCCAUUGGGGUCUCCCCGCACAGGCUCAAAUCCUGUCGACUGCG
RNAcentral lists this transfer RNA (82 nucleotides) under Ixodes scapularis (black-legged tick). Its description in RNAcentral is "tRNA-Ser". It matches the Rfam family "tRNA". Rfam says of the family: Transfer RNA (tRNA) molecules are approximately 80 nucleotides in length. Their secondary structure includes four short double-helical elements and three loops (D, anti-codon, and T loops). Lineage: Eukaryota; Metazoa; Arthropoda; Arachnida; Ixodida; Ixodidae. The record is from RNAcentral.